Molecule: small nucleolar RNA, 87 nt
Filed under: Dasypus novemcinctus (nine-banded armadillo)
Lineage: Eukaryota; Metazoa; Chordata; Mammalia; Cingulata; Dasypodidae
Source: RNAcentral
GCCAGCCCACGAUAUUCAGUACUGGGCUGCUGUCUCUGUGAGGACAUGGUGACCCAGGGACUUUUGACACCUGAGGUUUUGAGGGGC